UUGAAAGGGAAACGAUUGAAGUCAGUCGUACCGACGAGAAAUCAGCUUUUCGAAUGUGCAUUUGUGGGCGUAUGAGAUCUUCAUUGUUUGCAAUAUGUUAUUUCUUUGGUGUACUUUUUCGUAUGGUAGGUCAACGUCGGUUUUGAUCGCCAUAAAAUGAUCGGAGGAAUGUAGCUUCGACCUCGGUUGAAGUGUUAUAGCCUUUGGUAAAUGUGGUGAUUAGGACCGAGGAUUGCAACGAAUACCUUUUAGGCUAUCCGUCUGACCUCUGAAAGUUACUUGGGUGUCGAAAGCUUGCUUACGGCCAUUUAAGUUAACGGUCAAAAGGUUAGAACGUGAUUACAUUCGUUAAGGAUGUUGACGUA
Molecule: ribosomal RNA, 365 nt
Filed under: uncultured Glomeromycotina
Lineage: Eukaryota; Fungi; Glomeromycota
Description: LSU rRNA
Source: RNAcentral